Molecule: unclassified non-coding RNA, 865 nt
Filed under: Zea mays
Lineage: Eukaryota; Viridiplantae; Streptophyta; Magnoliopsida; Poales; Poaceae
Description: misc RNA Zm00001eb412030
Source: RNAcentral
GGGCAAACGCAGUCCGAGCAGGGCGACUGAACGAAAUCCGGGCUAGGGAAAAGCUCCAGCCAUGGGAAAGUAAGGGGCCGGCGUGAGCUCGGAGGGAGCUAGCCACCACAGGAAAAGGGAACUCGGCGGCCUGGAAUGAAGAACAGGGGCGCGCGCACCAGACGAAGAGCUGCGGCCGAGCCAGAUCCGGGGCGGCUGGGCAGAGGGAGCAGCUGCGCGUGCGGCAAGCCGGAGCGAGGAGAUGGGCGACGCAGGGAGAUGGGCAGGGAUGGAGCUCGGCCGGACGGCUGCCAUGGCAACGGGCAGAGGGAACUAGAAGGGCGCAGCAAGCUCUACGACGAGAAGGGGGCACGGCUGACGUCCAUGGAAAGGACAGGAGGCGCCAUGGCUGGACGCGAGCAAGAGCAGGGAGAAGACGAGCAGAGAGAGAUGAGCGCCGUGGGGCUUCGCAGCGCGCGGACGCCAGGGAAGAAGACGCGACCGGACGCCAUGGCUGGACACAGGGAAGAUGGACAAGCAGAGGAACGCCGAGCAGGGAGUUCCGGCCGGCAGAGAAGCAUGGCGCGCGCACAAAGCACAGAAGCUGGGCGCAGCCAUGGACUGGGAGAUGGGCUCGGCACCAGGGAGCUCCGAGCAGGGACGCCGCGGUCCGAGCGUCGGACACCGGGCAGAGUGUGCGACGCAGGAGGAGCUCAAGCGCGCGGGGAAGGGGAUAAGCUCCAUGAAGAAAAAUCUAGAGAUUGGGAGAGACGAGCUGGGGGAAGCAGGUGCUACAGCUGCUACAAAUCCCACAAGCGCCCGGUCGACUGGGAGGAGAUAAGGGAGAGGAACGACUUCAGGAGAAUUCCAGCGCGGUGGAGAAGAU